RNAcentral lists this microRNA precursor (111 nucleotides) under Procavia capensis (Cape rock hyrax). RNAcentral's name for it is "miRNA (ENSPCAG00000019837.1)". Lineage: Eukaryota; Metazoa; Chordata; Mammalia; Hyracoidea; Procaviidae. The record is from RNAcentral.
AAACGCAGAUUCUCAGGCCCACCCAAGACAGACUGAUUCCCUGGGUCCAGGGUGGAAGCCAGGAAUCUGCAUUUUUAGCACACCUUCCCCAAGAAAUUCUGAUGCAGGGGG